ACAUGUCUGCAACAUAGCGUUAAUGCAUUGGAUCCCAUUAGAACUCUGCAGUUAAGCACACUCGAGCUAGAGUAGUACUGUGAUGGGUGAUUGUCCGAGAAGUCCUAGUAUUUUACAUGUC
This is a non-coding RNA of Picea glauca (white spruce), 121 nucleotides long. Lineage: Eukaryota; Viridiplantae; Streptophyta; Pinopsida; Pinales; Pinaceae. The record is from Rfam.